CCCUUAGAUGUUCUGGGCUGCACGCGUGCUACAAUGAAGCGUCCAACAAGAUGCGAAGCCGAAAGGCUCAGCGGAUCUUUGAAGUCGUUUCGUGACCGGGACAGUUGAUUGCAAUUAUUCGACUCGAACGAGGAAUUCCUUGUAAUCGCGAUUCAUCAUAUCGCGCUGAAUACGUCCCUGCCCUUUGUACACACCGCCCGUCGCUCCUACCGAUUGAGCGAUCCGGUGAACUAUUUGGAGUGUCCACGCAAGCCAAUCCGUUUACGUGGGUGCGAAAUUUUGUAAACCUUAUCGCUUAGAGGAAGGAAAAGUCGUAACA
RNAcentral lists this ribosomal RNA (319 nucleotides) under uncultured eukaryote. Its description in RNAcentral is "partial 18S ribosomal RNA". It matches the Rfam family "Eukaryotic small subunit ribosomal RNA", at positions 1470 to 1796 of the family's 1831-position model. The record is from RNAcentral.